Molecule: ribosomal RNA, 535 nt
Filed under: uncultured bacterium
Lineage: Bacteria
Description: bacterial SSU rRNA
Rfam family: Bacterial small subunit ribosomal RNA
Source: RNAcentral
GAGUGACCUGCCUUUUAGACUGGAACAACUUACCGAAAGGUGAGCUAAUGCCGGAUGAGUUAUAUAAGUGCAUGUUUAUAUAGGAAAAGUUGGGGAGACCUGACGCUGAAAGAUGGACUCGCGUCCCAUUAGCUAGUUGGUAGGGUAAUGGCCUACCAAGGCGACGAUGGGUAGCCGGCCUGAGAGGGUGGCCGGCCACACUGGGACUGAGACACGGCCCAGACUCCUACGGGAGGCAGCAGUGGGGAAUUUUGCGCAAUGCUCGUAAGAGUGACGCAGCGACGCCGCGUGAAUGACGAAGGCCUUCGGGUCGUAAAGUUCUUUCGACAGGGAAGAAAAUGCCUAUAAGUAACUGUGUAUGUAUUGACGGUACCUGUAUAAGCAGCCCCGGCUAACUCCGUGCCAGCAGCCGCGGUAAUACGGAGGGGGCGAGCGUUGUUCGGGGUGACUGGGCGUAAAGAGCACGUAGGCGGUGUUGUAAGUCAUUAGUCAAAGACUAGAGCUCAACUUUAGUAAGGCUAGUGAUACUAUAAUA